CUGUUUAAGUCCAGUAUACGAGAAUCUUGAUGAGAUAUGCGGUUUGAGCGUGUUACUUUAAACGGAGAUUAGUUCUUCUAUUGGAGCUCAAAACACUUUUCUGCACGGAAAUCGCUUUUGGCUCAAAACGUAGCUU
Long non-coding RNA from Etheostoma spectabile (orangethroat darter), 136 nucleotides. RefSeq lists it as uncharacterized. The record is from RefSeq and is a predicted model, not a curated record. The transcript has 3 exons. NCBI's taxonomy places the organism in Eukaryota, Metazoa, Chordata, Actinopteri, Perciformes, Percidae.